GGUAGUCCACGCUGUAAACGAUGGGUGCUAGGUGUCGGGGUAUCGACCCCUCCGGUGCCGCAGCUAACGCACUAAGCACCCCGCCUGGGGACUACGGCCGCAAGGCUAAAACUCAAAGGAAUUGACGGGGGCCCGCACAAGCAGCGGAGCGUGUGGUUUAAUUCGAUGCAACGCGAAGAACCUUACCCGGACUUGACGUGCAGGUGGUAGCGACCCGAAAGGGAAGCGACCCGCAAGGGAGCCUGUGCAGGUGCUGCACGGCUGUCGUCAGCUCGUGCCGUGAGGUGUUGGGUUAAG
This 297-nucleotide ribosomal RNA is filed under the name uncultured bacterium. RNAcentral describes it as "partial 16S ribosomal RNA". It matches the Rfam family "Bacterial small subunit ribosomal RNA", at positions 789 to 1084 of the family's 1533-position model. The record is from RNAcentral.